This 2745-nucleotide long non-coding RNA is filed under the name Homo sapiens (human). RNAcentral describes it as "novel transcript". The record is from RNAcentral. Lineage: Eukaryota; Metazoa; Chordata; Mammalia; Primates; Hominidae.
GGGCGCGAGCGGCAGCUGUCAGGCCACCGAGGUCCAAGCCGCACUUGCUGCCCCAUUGAGGACGAGGAGGCAGCAGGAGCAGUGACGGUGACUCUAAGGAGCCGGAUUCCCGGCACGCAGAGCUGACCUGCCUGGCACCCGCGGCCCUCUCCUGUUUCCUUCCCAUUGUGUUGGAUAAGCCAGCUGCAGAAUAUAUCCUGAGGUACCUGCUUUAUGGAAUUAUUCACACUAUUCACCAACAGGAAGAAUAAAGUCAAUCAAUUCAAGGAGUCUCAGAACAGGAGCACAUAGACACCAAACUUUGUGGGACAACAAAUAUAAUGAAGAGUAUGUUUGCGUCUUUCAAACAAAGAAAUGUUAUGAGAAUGACUUGGAUGAGCUGAAAAAUGAAUGAUCUCCUUGAACAAGGCUUGCCUGGAAUUUCGCUUUGCUGCAGAGACAUCUGGAAAUGUGGAUUGAGGGUGGAAAUAAAAUGAAGAUGUCCUGGAAACUUCCAACUGAUCCUUGGGUCUAAUUGGUGUGGGAUAUGCAGCACAAGCGUGAGAAGCCAUGAAGUGAGAGCCCCAACAGGGGCUCAGAGUCAAAAACCUAGAUAUUAGCUCCCAAAGUCCUUCCGAAUCUGCUCCAGCUCCCCACAUCACUCCUAGCUGCCCUUGGCCCUCUCCACCUUUCCCCUCCCGAUUCCUUGGAAAAUAAGCGUUCCUCCCCCACCCCCACCCCCAGCUCUACGAACACAAUAGAGAAGAAAAAAUUGUCUUUUAAGAUAAUUUCCUCCAAAUCCUUCUCAGUUUCAACUGCAUGAAGACAAAAUGCAGGCUGUCAAUUCGAUGAACAGAUUGUGAUUAGGCUGGGGGAGGCUAGAAUUGUAAUAAUUUUAUAGCUACAAUAAUAAAGACCCAGAAGUGGGCAAGACCUAUGCAAGUUCACAGACUAGGUUAAAGAAAAGGCCAGCGUUGAAGAUGUGGGUGAUUUCCAAGAAGGAUAAUCGACUUCGAGACAAGUCAAGAACACGAUCUGGGAAUCAGCUCCCUUGACCUAGAGGCCGGUGUCCUCCCAUGGAUGGCCUUUAAAACAACUGGCUGGCAUAUAAUAAGAGGGGCACCUGUUGGAAGACUCCGGAGAAGGAAGACGCAUCUGAAAUUUGGUGCCAUGACUCGAAUCGGGGGACCUCCCUUGGAAGAUCAAUCCCCUGUCCUCCUGCUCUUUACUCCAUGAGAAAGAUCCACCUACAACCUCUGGUCCUCAGGCCAACCAGCCCAAGGAACAUCUCACCAAUUUUAUAUCCGGUACCCACUGGAAAUUGGACUCUCCAACUCACCCGGCAGCCACUCCCAGAGCCACUGGAACUCUGGCCCAACGCUCUCUGACUGACUCCUUCCCAGAUCAUCUCAGCUUAGCGGCUGAAGAUUGAUGCUGCCCAAUCACCUCAGAAGCUUCCUGGACCAUCACAUACGCUUUGGGUAACUCUUACAGUGGAGGGGUGGCCUUGGCAAAAGAGGAAGUCAAAUCUGGAACCAAGGGGUCCCAGCCCAUGUCCCCCUCUGAUUUCCUAGACAAACUUAUGGGGCGAACAUCUGGAUAUGAUGCCAGGAUUCGGCCCAAUUUUAAAGGCCCACCCGUGAACGUGACCUGCAACAUCUUCAUCAACAGUUUCAGCUCCAUCACCAAGACCACAAUGGACUACCGGGUGAAUGUCUUCUUGCGGCAACAGUGGAAUGACCCACGCCUGUCCUACCGAGAAUAUCCUGAUGACUCUCUGGACCUCGAUCCCUCCAUGCUGGACUCUAUCUGGAAGCCAGACCUCUUCUUUGCUAAUGAGAAAGGGGCCAACUUCCAUGAGGUGACCACGGACAACAAGUUACUGCGCAUCUUCAAGAAUGGGAAUGUGCUGUACAGCAUCAGGCUGACCCUCAUUUUGUCCUGCCUGAUGGACCUCAAGAACUUCCCCAUGGACAUCCAGACCUGCACGAUGCAGCUUGAGAGCUUUGGCUACACCAUGAAAGACCUCGUGUUUGAGUGGCUGGAAGAUGCUCCUGCUGUCCAAGUGGCUGAGGGGCUGACUCUGCCCCAGUUUAUCUUGCGGGAUGAGAAGGAUCUAGGCUGUUGUACCAAGCACUACAACACAGGGAAAUUCACCUGCAUCGAGGUAAAGUUUCACCUGGAACGGCAGAUGGGCUACUAUCUGAUUCAGAUGUACAUCCCCAGCCUACUCAUCGUCAUCCUGUCCUGGGUCUCCUUCUGGAUCAACAUGGAUGCUGCCCCUGCCCGUGUGGGCCUGGGCAUCACCACCGUGCUCACCAUGACCACCCAGAGCUCUGGCUCCCGGGCCUCUUUGCCUAAGGUGUCCUACGUGAAGGCAAUCGACAUCUGGAUGGCUGUGUGUCUGCUCUUUGUGUUCGCUGCCUUGCUGGAGUAUGCUGCCAUAAAUUUUGUUUCUCGUCAGCAUAAAGAAUUCAUACGACUUCGAAGAAGGCAGAGGCGCCAACGCUUGGAGGAAGAUAUCAUCCAAGAAAGUCGUUUCUAUUUCCGUGGCUAUGGCUUGGGCCACUGCCUGCAGGCAAGAGAUGGAGGUCCAAUGGAAGGUUCUGGCAUUUAUAGUCCCCAACCUCCAGCCCCUCUUCUAAGGGAAGGAGAAACCACGCGGAAACUCUACGUGGACUGAGCCAAGAGAAUUGACACCAUCUCCCGGGCUGUCUUCCCUUUCACUUUCCUCAUCUUCAAUAUCUUCUACUGGGUUGUCUAUAA